RNAcentral lists this ribosomal RNA (488 nucleotides) under uncultured bacterium. RNAcentral describes it as "bacterial SSU rRNA". It matches the Rfam family "Bacterial small subunit ribosomal RNA", at positions 28 to 507 of the family's 1533-position model. The record is from RNAcentral. RNAcentral also lists the same sequence under 1 other name.
GAUGAACGCUAGCGACAGGCCUAACACAUGCAAGUCGAGGGGCAGCACAUGAGUAGCAAUACGAUGGUGGCGACCGGCGCACGGGUGAGUAACACGUAUGCAACCUACCUUCUACCAGGGGAUAACCCGUUGAAAGACGGACUAAUACCCUAUAAUACAGGGGCUCCGCAUGGAGAUAUUUGUUAAAGAUUCAUCAGUAGAAGAUGGGCAUGCGCAUGAUUAGCUAGUUGGCGGGGUAACGGCCCACCAAGGCAUCGAUCAUUAGGGGUUCUGAGAGGAAGGUCCCCCACACUGGUACUGAGACACGGACCAGACUCCUACGGGAGGCAGCAGUGAGGAAUAUUGGUCAAUGGGCGAGAGCCUGAACCAGCCAAGUCGCGUGAAGGAAGACUGUCCUAUGGAUUGUAAACUUCUUUUGUACGGGAAUAAAGUGGGCUACGUGUAGCCUUUUGUAUGUACCGUACGAAUAAGGAUCGGCUAACUCCGUG